This 1374-nucleotide long non-coding RNA is filed under the name Homo sapiens (human). RNAcentral's name for it is "HSALNT0115129". The record is from RNAcentral. Lineage: Eukaryota; Metazoa; Chordata; Mammalia; Primates; Hominidae.
UUACCCAGUAGAGUGAGGCAGAGAAGACAAGCAAAGAUUCUUGCCUCGAAUCUUUCUGUUUAAAAUAUGUAUCUACAUAAUAUGAGUGGUGCAUCAUCACUGGCAAUUUUGAAAUUCCCCAGUUAAUCUCUAGAAGCAGUUUUGUGAACUUACUUGCAGUAUCACGGCCCACCCAGUGGUUACCAAAAAUAGAAAUUGAAGUCAGGGAAUAUCUGAGGCUACCAGAUUGAUUCUAUUCAGGUCGCUAAAUGAUUCACAUAAAGUGUAACCCAACACACCCUCCGGGUCACAAGAUGCUUGAGGAUGAUCACUUCUCCCCAGGACACCGCCCCAGCAGCAAGUAACAGCCUGCCUGGCAGCGAGCCUUGCACGGGCCCAUCCCCACCCGCUCACAGGCACACACUGGCUUGUUCAGGAGGCUAUCAGACAAACAAAUUAAGACAGACAUGUGAAUACUGCCAUGCAAUACAGAGCAAUGGAUGGGAGGAAAGUCCAUAUUUUGUCGUCUUAUCUCCAGGAAGAAAUGAAGGCGGGAAGAGUAAGAAUGAUGCCCUGUUCCUUAACAAAACACUUUGUGCAUUCUUUAUUGUGUCAUAGCUGUGCAAGGAAACAAAGCUAUUGCAUUUUAUUUGGGCUGGAAAUGUAAAAUCUUUAAAAUAUAACUUUUAGAAGGAAGGCAGUUGCUCUUUUUCCUCGUGUCUUAUCAUGAGAGUCAUUUGAUCCAAGAUACUGCUCCUUAACUUACGCUUUUUAUUUGGAAGAAACACUAACGAUACUUCUUAGGGAUAUUGUACAGAGAAAGUAGGUUGCACAUUUAACCUUAGGAACAGAAACUGCUGUUGCUUAAGUACCGCUCACCCUUUCACCACCUGAGAUGAAGAAUGACUCAACCAUAUGAUGAAACAGAGAAAGCCAUGUUUCUAAUGAGGCCAGAGCCUGAAGGCAGAAACCCUUCAAGAGCUGAAUUUCCCAUUUUGUUGCCAACAACAAAUAAACUCAGUGUUCCUUCAAUGACGAUUAAUCCGGCAAAAACCAUGCAGAAAUGAAGGAGCUUUAAAAUGAUCAUCAUUCAUCAACCCAACCAUCUCCCUUGGAUACCCACUUCAUUACUAAGAGAGUAAUUAUUUUUGUGUUGUCAGUUUUAGGGAAAAGCCCUUGAGGAUUAUUCAUUGGUAAUUGGAAAAAUAAAUGUUAAUGUCUUCUGUGGAUUAGGAAAGAAUGUUUUAUGACUAACUGUUUAGACGCUUCUGUUGCAUUGCCUGAGUUUGGAAGCUUCAUUGGUUUUCCAGCCAAGGCUUCAUAAAAGCUUUCAAAUUACCUGUAGCUGUCAGAGAGGAGUCUCCUCAAGGAGAUGGAUGAAGCUUGCCCACGAUG